This 253-nucleotide ribosomal RNA is filed under the name uncultured bacterium. RNAcentral describes it as "partial 16S ribosomal RNA". It matches the Rfam family "Bacterial small subunit ribosomal RNA", at positions 524 to 776 of the family's 1533-position model. The record is from RNAcentral.
UACGAAGGGGGCUAGCGUUGCUCGGAAUCACUGGGCGUAAAGCGCACGUAGGCGGCUCGUUAAGUCAGGGGUGAAAUCCUGGAGCUCAACUCCAGAACUGCCUUUGAUACUGGCGAUCUUGAGUUCGGGAGAGGUGAGUGGAACUGCGAGUGUAGAGGUGAAAUUCGUAGAUAUUCGCAAGAACACCAGUGGCGAAGGCGGCUCACUGGCCCGAUACUGACGCUGAGGUGCGAAAGCGUGGGGAGCAAACAGG